Molecule: long non-coding RNA, 371 nt
Filed under: Ananas comosus (pineapple)
Lineage: Eukaryota; Viridiplantae; Streptophyta; Magnoliopsida; Poales; Bromeliaceae
Description: long non-coding RNA (ACOM_LNC024152)
Source: RNAcentral
CGCACUCCACGAGUACCUAUACUCGGGCGUCGUACGCUACUAUAGUGUUCUACACUAAGUCUUGGCUUUGGGCAAGAUUGCCCCCACACACCGUCUACCAAACACAUUCUCCUACCUCACAUUGAGGUACAACUAGGCCCACAGGCCAAACUUGGCACCAACCAACUAUUCCCUCAAUAGUGAUUCACUUUCACUGUUCGAUCUACCGAAACAACAUCCAAAACACUCGGAUUACUUGAGUGUCCACAAGUGUAAUGACUCAACUCUCGCAAUCAAUUACUUACAUUGCUCUGUGAGUUGGUCCGCCAAUUCCAUCUCUACCACAUGUCUCAUUCCUUGCAAUAAGACUCACGCUCCCCCCGCACAAUUGC